This 554-nucleotide unclassified non-coding RNA is filed under the name Ondetia linearis. Its description in RNAcentral is "contains 3 external transcribed spacer, ETS". The record is from RNAcentral. Lineage: Eukaryota; Viridiplantae; Streptophyta; Magnoliopsida; Asterales; Asteraceae.
GCAUCUUGGGGGUUGUUCCGCUUGGUUUGUUUUCGGUGGUUGGCUCUCUCUUAAUUGCAACAACUUCCAUCUGGCAUUCCUCUUCAGCUACGUAUCAGGGUUGUAUUGCCUUGAUUGUAUUGUAGGUUUCUGUAUUGUCUACCUAAGUUGAUGGUAUCGUUUGGACCCAUCAAACUCUCCUUUCGUCUUGCAUCACAAUUAUGGUGUGGGAUGGACCUUGAAGCGGUCUUUGUGUUCCACCUUGUUGGCAUGGACGUGUCGAUGAUGUGGGUCAUUGAGCCUUGCUUGGUAUUAUGGAUACAGAACAUGAUGUCGGCACGGGGUCUCUCAUGAUCCUUGUUUUGCCUUUAUAGAGCGUUAUCGUUCUUCUAAGAUGAUCAUCCAGCCCGAAUUGGCUCGUACCACCGGGUGGAUAUGUUGUUGAGGAAGGAUGCUAGCGUUCUUGCUUCUCCAAAAAGACCGCCCAUCCCGUAUUGGCUUGUACAAGCGGGUUGGGUACGUCCGAAAGGGAUGCUACCUGGUUGAUCCUGCCAGUAGUCAUAUGCUUGUCUCAA